GGGCCAUGGCUCAGUAGCAGAGCAUCUGCUUUGCAUGUAAAAGUUCCAGGUUCAAUCCUGGCAUCUCUA
Molecule: transfer RNA, 69 nt
Filed under: Podarcis lilfordi (Lilford's wall lizard)
Lineage: Eukaryota; Metazoa; Chordata; Lepidosauria; Squamata; Lacertidae
Description: tRNA.Ala
Rfam family: tRNA
About the family: Transfer RNA (tRNA) molecules are approximately 80 nucleotides in length. Their secondary structure includes four short double-helical elements and three loops (D, anti-codon, and T loops).
Source: RNAcentral